AGUGAACGCUGGCGGUAGGCCUAACACAUGCAAGUCGAACGGCAGCACAGUAAGAGCUUGCUCUUACGGGUGGCGAGUGGCGGACGGGUGAGGAAUACAUCGGAAUCUACUUUUUCGUGGGGGAUAACGUAGGGAAACUUACGCUAAUACCGCAUACGACCUACGGGUGAAAGCAGGGGAUCUUCGGACCUUGCGCGAUUGAAUGAGCCGAUGUCGGAUUAGCUAGUUGGCGGGGUAAAGGCCCACCAAGGCGACGAUCCGUAGCUGGUCUGAGAGGAGGAUCAGCCACACUGGAACUGAGACACGGUCCAGACUCCUACGGGAGGCAGCAGUGGGGAAUAUUGGACAAUGGGCGCAAGCCUGAUCCAGCCAUACCGCGUGGGUGAAGAAGGCCUUCGGGUUGUAAAGCCCUUUUGUUGGGAAAGAAAAGCAGCAGGUUAAUACCCCGCUGUUCUGACGGUACCCAAAGAAUAAGCACCGGCUAACUUCGU
This 491-nucleotide ribosomal RNA is filed under the name uncultured bacterium. RNAcentral's name for it is "partial 16S ribosomal RNA". It matches the Rfam family "Bacterial small subunit ribosomal RNA", at positions 29 to 506 of the family's 1533-position model. The record is from RNAcentral.